This 253-nucleotide ribosomal RNA is filed under the name uncultured bacterium. RNAcentral's name for it is "partial 16S ribosomal RNA". It matches the Rfam family "Bacterial small subunit ribosomal RNA", at positions 524 to 776 of the family's 1533-position model. The record is from RNAcentral.
UACGGAGGGGGCUAGCGUUAUUCGGAAUUACUGGGCGUAAAGCGCGCGUAGGCGGUAAAUCAAGUUGGAAGUGAAAGCCCAAGGCUUAACCUUGGAAUUGCUUUCAAGACUGAUUAACUAGAGUUUAGUAGAGGAUGGUGGAAUUCCUAGUGUAGAGGUGAAAUUCUUAGAUAUUAGGAGGAACACCGGUGGCGAAGGCGGCCAUCUGGGCUAAAACUGACGCUGAGGCGCGAAAGCGUGGGGAGCAAACAGG